RNAcentral lists this ribosomal RNA (443 nucleotides) under uncultured bacterium. RNAcentral's name for it is "partial 16S ribosomal RNA". It matches the Rfam family "Bacterial small subunit ribosomal RNA", at positions 338 to 795 of the family's 1533-position model. The record is from RNAcentral.
CCUACGGGUGGCAGCAGUGGGGAAUAUUGGGCAAUGGAGGAAACUCUGACCCAGCAACGCCGCGUGAAUGAUGAAGGUCUUCGGAUUGUAAAGCUCUUUUCUAAGGGAAGUAGAAAGUGACGGUACCUUAUGAAUAAGCCUCGGCUAACUACGUGCCAGCAGCCGCGGUAAUACGUAGGAGGCAAGCGUUAUCCGGAGUGACUGGGCGUAAAGGGUGCGUAGGUGGUUUGAUAAGUUGGUAGCGUAACUCCGAGGCUCAACCUCGGAACUACUACCAAAACUGUCGGACUUGAGUGCAGGAGGGGUAGCUGGAAUUCCUGGUGUAGCGGUGGAAUGCGUAGAGAUUAUGAGGAACACCGAUGGCGAAGGCGGGUUACUAGACUGUAACUGACACUGAGGCACGAAAGCGUGGGGAGCAAACAGGAUUAGAUACCCGUGUAGUC